Molecule: long non-coding RNA, 1003 nt
Organism: Ictalurus punctatus (channel catfish)
Lineage: Eukaryota; Metazoa; Chordata; Actinopteri; Siluriformes; Ictaluridae
Source: Ensembl
ACAGGAAGUGACCUCAGCUCUACCUGAAGCACGGGCCACAGAGGCGACGUCUGCAGACUCACACACUCCGGACCACACACACUCGGGUUUAUCCCAGCACGAACACACACCGCGUGCACAGGCACACACACUGGUGGAGCCGCUACAGGAGCAGUCCACAUCCAGCAUGGAGACUCAGAACGAGAGCAGCAGCGAUGAACACGGAACAACAUCAGCAGCUCUGGACCUCAACUCUGAGACACGCACACAGGAGGCAGUGUGUGAGGGAGUGUGUGAGGGAGUGUGUGAGGAACAGCAGCUCCAGCGAGAGGCCACCAUGAGCAGCCUCAUCAUCAUCCAGAGAAAAGCAGAGCAACGCUGGCAACGAGACCGAGACCGACAAAUCCUUAGACUUCAGGAGCGACUAUCAAUCGUUCAGAACAGGAAGUCAGACGAGGACCUGCUGGGACUGAGACGCGAGGAAACAUUCAGACAGCUGACCAACACACUGCAGCAGGAAGAUGAGCAGCAGCAGAAGGUGUUGGUCAGAGAGAAACUGCAGCAGCUGUGGAGAGAGCGUUCUUAUAUUCUACAGUCCAGAAGAGAGAGGAAUACGGCUGAAUUUAAGGAACUCCUCACACCUACAACUCAGUGUCCGACGAAUUCAGAAGAUGUGCUCAACACACGUACACACACACACAUCAACACCACACACACACACCUACCUGACAUUCCCUGACAGCGUUGUCCUGUUUGUGUUAAAGGUGCAGUCUGGUUAUUUAAAAGUUCUUCUAAACCUGUAAUAAUCAGCCACUUUUACAGAAACUGGAAUUCACAGCACUGACAUGCGUCGAAACAUCUCACACUUCUGUUCACGUUUUUCUGGUCCUGCAGUAAACUCUACACCUGCGGCCUGAAUAUAACCCGAGAUAAACUAGACAUAAACCUAAAAUCCUGAUCUUCCGUACAGAUGAUCAGGAAGUCAGUGGAUCGUUAAAGUUCCCUUCUAAUUAUUUGUGCUCCA